GGGCUCGUAGCUCAGCGGUAGAGCAGCCCCCUCAUAAGGGGUUGGUCGUAGGUUCGAUCCCUGCCGAGCCCACCA
RNAcentral lists this transfer RNA (75 nucleotides) under Patescibacteria group bacterium. RNAcentral's name for it is "tRNA-Met". It matches the Rfam family "tRNA". Rfam says of the family: Transfer RNA (tRNA) molecules are approximately 80 nucleotides in length. Their secondary structure includes four short double-helical elements and three loops (D, anti-codon, and T loops). The record is from RNAcentral.